AUUGGUCAAUAGUAAGAUUGCGUAUUUUGAAAACUUGGCGGUAGUUGGGAGGAGGCAGAAUAGAGUGAGGGUUCGAUGUUAAACAGUCUGGGAGUAAUAUAAUAAGCCGGUCCAAGACGCUGGCAAGCAGGGUAACAGUGAUACAGGAGUUGUGGAAAGUUGUUCUGGGUGAGGACGCUGUGACUGAUAGAGUCGUAUAAAAGCCGAGAGCCAAGUGAAGAGACGACUGAUAAGAAUUGACAGCUAUUCCGGAGCUCCGAGUUUCAGGCUCUCCUGUGUAAGAUGGGGAAGGAUGAGGGCAUUCCAGUAAGAGUUGCCCUACGCUGCCGUCCUCUAGUGCCCAAAGAAAAUAAUGAAGGAUGUAAAAUGUGUCUAACGUUUGUUCCAGGGGAGCAGCAGGUGAUAGUGGGCACAGAAAAAUCCUUCACUUAUGAUUAUGUUUUUGACCCAUCAGCUGAGCAAGAGGAGGUGUAUAACUCUGCUGUUGCUCCACUCAUUAAAGGAUUAUUUAAAGGAUACAAUGCCACUGUUCUGGCAUAUGGGCAGACUGGUUCUGGAAAAACAUAUUCAAUGGGAGGAGCUUAUACACACAAUCAGGAGAAUGAGCCAACUGUGGGAGUUAUCCCUAGAACUGUUAUAGCUCUCUUUAGAGAAAUCCAUCAGAGGCCUGAAUGGGAGUUCAAUUUAAAAGUAUCUUACUUAGAGAUCUACAACGAAGAAAUUCUAGAUUUGCUGUAUGCAGCUCGUGACAAAACUAAUACAAUUAGCAUUCGGGAAGACCCAAAAGAAGGGAUUAAGAUUUGUGGUUUGACAGAGCGGGAUGUAAAGACAGCCCUGGACACACUAUCUUGCUUAGAGCAGGGAAACAGCUCGCGUACUGUGGCAUCCACUGCCAUGAACUCCCAGUCCUCUCGGUCACAUGCCAUCUUUACAAUCUCUAUCGAGCAGAGGAAGGAAGGGGACAAAAACAAUAGCUUUCGCUCCAAACUGCACCUUGUGGACUUGGCAGGGUCAGAAAGGCAAAAAAAGACUAAGGCUGAAGGUGAUCGACUCAAGGAAGGUAUCAGCAUUAACCGUGGCCUGCUGUGCCUAGGAAAUGUCAUCAGUGCCCUAGGUGAUGAAAGCAAGAAGGGUGGCUUUGUACCUUACAGAGACUCCAAGCUGACUCGUCUCCUACAAGAUUCUCUUGGAGGGAACAGCCACACUCUUAUGAUCGCAUGUGUUAGUCCUGCUGACUCGAACAUGGAAGAAACUCUAAAUACACUGCGAUAUGCUGACAGAGCGAGGAAGAUAAAGAACAAACCUAUUGUCAACACUGAUCCCCAGGCUGCAGAGCUACAACGACUUAAACUACAGGUACAAGAAUUGCAAGUCCUGCUACUUCAGGCACAUGGAGGAACUCUGCCUGUUUUGAACAGCAUGGAACCAUCUGAGAAUCUCCAGUCCCUAAUGGAGAGAAACAAGAAUUUAGAGAAAGAAAAUGGCAAGCUGAGCCGGGAACUUGGCGAAGCAGCAGUACAGACUGCACAAUUUCUAGAAAAAAUUAUUAUGACUGAGCAACAGAAUGAAAAACUGGGCAGUAAAAUGGAAGAGCUAAAGCAACACGCUGCGUGCAAAGUGAACCUUCAGAGAUUAGUAGAAACACUGGAAGACCAGGAGCUUAAAGAUAAUGUGGAGGUUAUCCAAGACUUGCAGCAGGUCAUUGUACAGCUCCAGGAUGAAAGCUCUGGAAUUGCAGGCUCUAUUGAGGCUAUGGAUGAAGAGGCUGCAUCCUUUCCAGUGCCUGAAGAGGACUCCGGAGAGAAACGCUCCUCUGAUGGAUUCACUACCAAUCAUGCUUUGCGUCAGGCCCAGCUCUCCAAGGAGCUAAUCGAAUUAAACAAAGCUUUGGUGAUGAAGGAAGCUCUGGCAAAGAAGAUGGCUCAAAAUGAUAGACAGCUAGAGCCAAUUCAGAGCGAGUACCUGAACAAUAUUAAACAUCUCGAGUCUGAAGUGGGAGUCCUGCAAAAAGAAAAGGAGGAGCUUAUUCUGGCACUUCACUCUGCUAAAAAAGACAACAAUCAGGCUAAAUUAAGUGAGCGUCGCCGCAAGAGGCUCCAAGAGCUUGAGGGGCAAAUGACAGAGCUUAAGAAAAAGUUAGGUGAACAGUCAAAACUUCUGAAACUCAGAGAGUCCACUGAAAAAACAGUCGCCAAAAUGAACCAGGAAAUCCAGGGAAUGAAAAUGCAGAGGGUGCAACUCAUGAGACAGAUGAAAGAGGAUGCUGAAAAAUUUCGUACCUGGAAACAACAAAAAACUAAAGAGGUUAUUCAGCUAAAGGAGAAGGACCGAAAGAGGCAAUAUGAGCUACUAAAACUUGAAAGGGACUUCCAGAAACAGGCCAAUGUCCUCCGCAGGAAAACCGAAGAGGCAGCCUCUGCCAACAAACGGCUAAAAGAGGCCUUGCAGAGACAGAAGGAGGCCAUGGAGAAACGGAAAGAUUCCCAGAGCAAAGGCAUGGAAGGUGCUGCCUCUAGAGUAAAGAACUGGCUGGCUAAUGAGGUUGAAGUGCUUGUCAGCACAGAGGAGGCACAGAGACAUCUAAAUGACCUCCUGGAGGACAGAAAAAUCCUGGCCCAAGAUAUAGCACAGCUGAAACAAAAGACGGAUGCCGGCGAGCGUAUUCCUACCAAAAUCCGGAGGCGCACUUACACUGUUGCAGAACUGGAAAAUCUGGAGGAAGAGGCUUCUGUCACCAAGCAGAUUGAGAGCUUAGAGACUGAAAUGGAGCUCAGGAGUGCUCAGAUAGCUGAUUUGCAACAGAAGUUGCUGGAUGCAGAUGGCGAAGAGGAAAUGGUCAAACGGAGGUGGGAAACAAUCUCCAACAUCAUGGAGGCAAAAUGUGCUCUCAAGUACCUGAUAACUGAGCUCGUCUCAUCCAAAGUGGCGGGCAGUAAACUAGAAAGCAGUGUAAAGCAGAAUAGGGCUCAUGUUGCUGAUCUACAAAAAAACAUCUUUGAGGAGAGGAAUCAGAUGGCAGAGAUGGAAACUGAGCAUCAGAGUCAGCUCAUGCAAUUGGAGCAACAUCAUCAGGAAAAGAUCCUUUACUUGUUGAGCCAACUGCAGCAGAAGCAAGCAUCUGUACCUGUAACAAUUGAAGAAUUGCCAGCAGAGGAAAUAACUGAGCGUGAGAAGCAACUGAUGGAGAGACUGAAGUUCCAGGAUGAAGAAAUAGAGAAAAUGAAGGCAUUAUGUGAAAAGAAUCAGCAGCUGUUGCAAGAGAAUGACAUGUAUAAGCAGAAACUAGCCCUUCUUCACGUUGCAAGUGGAAAGAAGCUGCACAACAUCCUACCAGCAGCUGAAAUAUGCUCACCAGACUCUCCCUUUGACUUCAUCCCACCUAAGCCAAGAGGCAAAAGGCGGACAAAUGCAAAAAGUGCUGCGGUUAUCCUUGAGGACCUGCUGUCUGAAUCUGAAUCUGAGGAGGAAUCAGAUGAUAAAAACUGGGAACCUGGAAAUAAUUCAAAACAGAGCAAGAAACUGACAAGCAAGUGCUCCUGUAAGGCUCGCUGUGGUAACAAAAUGUGCGGCUGUAGGAAAACCAAGCAGAACUGCUCUGAUGAUUGUUUUUGUGACCCUUCCAAAUGUCGUAACAGAGAUAACCAUAUGGAUGAAGGAAAACAUGAAGACCAGUCUCUUGAAUCUGAGAACUCAAAGAUCGAUUACCCAGAUGUAACAGCUGGUGGGUCAUUCUUCACUCCACCCUGCGUGACACCUACUAAGAAGGUGCUGCGUGAGAUUAGCGACAUUGGUCAGGUUCUGUCUAUCAAGCUGCAACGAAAACCAAGCACUGCUUCAGCUUCUGCGUCUGUCAUGGAAUCUCAAGAGAACCAGACUUCCAUCCUGACGAAGAAGAAGAAAGUCUUGUGCAACAGCAACACCAGCUUCUUCUCUGGCUGCUCGGCAAUUACAGAGGAUGAAUAGAGCAGGCCUGUCUGUUCCUUCCUGCUUUUUUCAUGUUUGAGCACACUCUUCAAUACUUGGUACUAUUAUAGUGCCAGCACUGCGUGGUGCUCUGACCAAUACAACCGUGUAGAUAUUCACACCCAGGCAAUGCAGAUUUUCAUUGUCCAACACGGUCUGUGUUGGUAGCACAUGCCAUGGACAGUUGAAACACACUGAGAAAUUAGCAAUUACAAUUAAAUGUCAACUUGAUUUGUAAAAAUGUAUGUGUUUGUGUAGUGGGCAAGCCCUGUAUUUCUGUUUCUAUUCCCCAAUGCUUUUUUGUUGCUUAUGCCAGUGGUUUAUAAAUAGAUUUUAAAGUGUAUUAAAACGUGUCUUUGUAUUUGGCCCUAUUUGCAGUGUACACACUGUUAACACUGACUUUUUUCUUUUUACUCAGAAGGCAAGGAGUCAAACUGUUAAAUCUUAAAGCCUUCUUUGUUUCAGUUUAUGGCAACCAAAACAACUAUUGGCCAAUUAACCCUACCUGCAUUGUCUUGGCAGUUUGGCUGAUGCAUACAGGUUGUAUAGUCUUUUAACUACUUUGCCCAACAGGCAGCCUUUCUUGGUCAAUAGUCUUUUAUCAUGGAUACCACUGAAACCUGUGCCCGCCAAAACUUGUGUCUAAGUCUUGUUUCUUCCUGUUCCUGUCCCCUUUUAUGUUGAAAUUUUAGUGUGAAUGGGUCCAAUUUUCACUAUUCAAAUAUUUCUGAUUAUUUUAUUGCUAAUAAAAUAUAUAAACAAA
Molecule: RNA transcript, 4726 nt
Organism: Xenopus laevis (African clawed frog)
Lineage: Eukaryota; Metazoa; Chordata; Amphibia; Anura; Pipidae
Gene: kif4a.S
Gene name: kinesin family member 4A S homeolog
Exons: 32
Source: RefSeq, marked provisional